RNAcentral lists this ribosomal RNA (589 nucleotides) under uncultured bacterium. RNAcentral describes it as "partial 16S ribosomal RNA". It matches the Rfam family "Bacterial small subunit ribosomal RNA", at positions 355 to 1376 of the family's 1533-position model. The record is from RNAcentral.
UGGGGAAUUUUGGACAAUGGGCGCAAGCCUGAUCCAGCCAUGCCGCGUGCGGGAAGAAGGCCUUCGGGUUGUAAACCGCUUUUGUCAGGGAAGAAAUCUUCUGAGUUAAUACCUCGGGAGGAUGACGGUACCUGAAGAAUAAGCACCGGCUAACUACGUGCCAGCAGCCGCGGUAAUACGUAGGGUGCAAGCGUUAAUCGGAAUUACUGGGCGUAAAGCGUGCGCAGGCGGUUUUGUAAGACAGAGGUGAAAUCCCCGGGCUCAACCUGGGAACUGCCUUUGUGACUGCAAGGCUUGAGUGCGGCAGAGGGGGGAUGGAAUUCCGCGUGUAGCAGUGAAAUGCGUAGAUAUGCGGAGGAACACCGAUGGCGAAGGCAAUCCCCUGGGCCUGCACUGACGCUCAUGCACGAAAGCGUGGGGAGCAAAACAGGAUUAGAUACCCUGGUAGUCCACGCCCUAAAACGAUGUCAACUGGUUGUUGGGAAGGUUCCUUCUCAGUAACGUAGCUAACGCGUGAAGUUGACCGCCUUGGGAGUACGGCCGCAAGGUUGAAACUUAAAUGAAUUGACGGGGUCAUAGCUGUUUCCUG